CAGUCGCCACGGUAAUACGUAGGGCGCAAGCGUUGUCCGGAAUUAUUGGGCGUAAAGAGCUCGUAGGCGGUCUGUCGCGUCUGGUGUGAAAUCCCGAGGCUCAACCUCGGGCUUGCAUCGGGUACGGGCAGACUAGAGUGCGGUAGGGGAGACUGGAAUUCCUGGUGUAGCGGUGGAAUGCGCAGAUAUCGGGAGGAACACCGAUGGCGAAGGCAGGUCUCUGGGCCGCAACUGACGCUGAGGAGCGAAAGCAUGGGGAGCGAACAGGAUUAGAUACCCCCGUAGUCCCUGUCUCUUAUAC
RNAcentral lists this ribosomal RNA (301 nucleotides) under uncultured bacterium. Its description in RNAcentral is "partial 16S ribosomal RNA". It matches the Rfam family "Bacterial small subunit ribosomal RNA", at positions 509 to 807 of the family's 1533-position model. The record is from RNAcentral.